AUGUUUCUUUUUUAUGGAGGUGACGAAGAACUCGUCGUAAAGGGUUACGUCGACGCUAGCUUCGAUAGAGAUCUGGAUGACUCUAAGUCACAAACCGGAUACGUGUAUAUGUUGAAUCGUGGAGCAGUAAGCUGGUGCAGCUGCAAGCAGAGCGUCGUUGCGGGAUCUACAUAUAAAGCGAAGUACAUGGCAGCCUCAGAGGCAGCACAUGAAGCAAUUUGGGUGAAGGAGUUCAUCACCGACCUAGGAGUCAUACCCAAUGCAUCGGGGCCAAUCACUCUCUUCUGUGACAACACUGGAGCUAUUGCCCAUGCCAAGGAGCCCAGGUUUCACAAGAAGACCAGGCACAUCAAGCGUCGUUUCAACUCCAUCCGUGAAAAUGUUCAAGAUGGAGACAUAGAUAUUUGCAAAGUACAUACAGAUCUGAAUGUCGCAGAUCCGUUGACUAAACCUCUUCCACGAGCAAAACAUGAUCAACACCAAAACUCUAUGGGUAUUCGAUUCAUCACAAUGUAA
This 516-nucleotide ribosomal RNA is filed under the name Triticum aestivum (bread wheat). RNAcentral describes it as "partial small subunit ribosomal RNA". Lineage: Eukaryota; Viridiplantae; Streptophyta; Magnoliopsida; Poales; Poaceae. The record is from RNAcentral.